This 445-nucleotide ribosomal RNA is filed under the name uncultured bacterium. Its description in RNAcentral is "bacterial SSU rRNA". It matches the Rfam family "Bacterial small subunit ribosomal RNA", at positions 354 to 796 of the family's 1533-position model. The record is from RNAcentral.
GUGAGGAAUAUUGGUCAAUGGCCGGAAGGCUGAACCAGCCAUCCCGCGUGCAGGAUGACGGCCCUAUGGGUUGUAAACUGCUUUUGUACCUGAAGAAACCUGUUUACGAGUAGACAGUUGCCGGUAAGGUAUGAAUAAGCAUCGGCUAACUCCGUGCCAGCAGCCGCGGUAAUACGGAGGAUGCAAGCGUUAUCCGGAUUCAUUGGGUUUAAAGGGUGCGCAGGUGGGAAAAUAAGUCAGUGGUGAAAUACUGCCGCUUAACGGUAGAAUUGCCAUUGAUACUGUUUUUCUUGAGUAUGGUUGAGGUAGGUGGAAUGUGUUGUGUAGCGGUGAAAUGCAUAGAUAUGACACAGAACGCCGAUUGCGAAGGCAGCUUACUAAGCCAUUACUGACGCUGAGGCACGAAAGCGUGGGGAUCAAACAGGAUUAGAUACCCGGGUAGUCC